RNAcentral lists this ribosomal RNA (714 nucleotides) under Triticum aestivum (bread wheat). RNAcentral describes it as "partial small subunit ribosomal RNA". The record is from RNAcentral. Lineage: Eukaryota; Viridiplantae; Streptophyta; Magnoliopsida; Poales; Poaceae.
AUGGCGGAGGCGGAGGAGUGGGAGAGGCGGAAGAGGGGGAGGAGGAGGCGGUGGCGGCGGGGCAGGAGGGAGAGCGACGGCAGCGACCCCGUGGAGGUGCUGGGGCAGGAGGUGAUGGGGCUGGUGGUGGAGCUCCUGGACGCGCGCAGCGUCGCACGAUGCACGGCGGUCUCCCGCGCCUGGUUCGGGGUCGCCGCCGACAACCGCCUCUGGGCACCCAAGUGUGCUGAACUGAUGGCCGGAAAGGCACAUAUUCCUCGUCUGACAAUGAUCCGUACUGCAUCAAAGUUGUCUACCUAUUCAAUGGCCAUCAUGGAUGGCAAACGGAAUCGGAUCACAAAAGAGGAUCUCUGUGAUCAUGCAUGGGAAUAUCGUUUCACUAUUGCAGCACCAGAGUACUGGAGGAAUCUCGAUCCGUCCUGGAAGCGCACUGGUCCACCCAUGCGACGAUACUUCCACCAUGAUGGUUACCACAGUGCAGAUCCUCAUGACGCUGUCUGGGGUGGCCAUGAGUGUGAGUACACGAUCAUAACAAGCUUUGUCGGUGAUGGAAGAAUCAGAGAUCAUUAUGUGAGGAUCAACCGGUGGCCACCGAUGAAAGUAUCGAGAAAGGAAGAUUGGAGCUGGGAGCUAUCCAACCACCUCUACCGCUACAACAGCAUCCCUGAUGCUGAAAAGGAAGGAUGUACAGGUCCGCUCUUCCCGGUUUGGUGA